RNAcentral lists this long non-coding RNA (437 nucleotides) under Sus scrofa (pig). RNAcentral's name for it is "lncRNA (ENSSSCG00050008588.1)". The record is from RNAcentral. Lineage: Eukaryota; Metazoa; Chordata; Mammalia; Artiodactyla; Suidae.
AAUCCAAAUACAGUCCUUUUGGCAAUUGAAGUUGCACGGAUAAUGUUUCUUUUGUUGACGUAAACCAUGGGAACUUCAGUUGCAUGAUCUCAUUAACUGAUUACAGCUGUGACUUUGAAGUAAUCUCUCAGAAUGAGCACUUUUAGAAGAGUUGUUACUCACGGGCCAAGUCCAGGAUUGUGGAAGAAGAUUUGCAGAGGGCAUCAGGAAAGAUGGCUGAAUGUUUUCUCCAUUUUCUGAUGGCCAAAAGGAAUACAGGAACCACAGUACCUAGCACAGAACAGAAAUUCUGCUUCUUGCUGAAGAAUACAUUACCGGUGAUGAAAGACUUACUUCGCUCUUCCUUGAGUGAUGCACUGGGGAGAUUAUCUUGUAAACUGAGUGAAAGGGCUGCCAGACACCAUCUCCUAGAAAUGCCUGGAAGAGACAUGAGCUAA